UGGGGAAUCUUGCGCAAUGGGCGAAAGCCUGACGCAGCAACGCCGCGUGAGCGAAGACGGCCUUCGGGUUGUAAAGCUCUGUCAGGAGGGACGAAGCCACUCAGGUGAAUAGCCGAGAGGGUGACGGUACCUCCAGAGGAAGCCCCGGCUAACUACGUGCCAGCAGCCGCGGUAAUACGUAGGGGGCUAGCGUUGUCCGGAAUCAUUGGGCGUAAAGCGCGUGUAGGCGGCCAUCCAAGUCUGAUGUGAAAGCUCGGGGCUCAACCCCGAGUCUGCAUUGGAAACUGGGUGGCUUGAGUCCGGAAGAGGAGACUGGAAUUCCUGGUGUAGCGGUGAAAUGCGCAGAUAUCAGGAAGAACACCGGUGGCGAAGGCGGGUCUCUGGGACGGUACUGACGCUGAGACGCGAAAGCGUGGGGAGCAAACA
RNAcentral lists this ribosomal RNA (426 nucleotides) under uncultured prokaryote. RNAcentral describes it as "bacterial SSU rRNA". It matches the Rfam family "Bacterial small subunit ribosomal RNA", at positions 355 to 774 of the family's 1533-position model. The record is from RNAcentral.